AUUGAACGCUGGCGGCAUGCCUUACACAUGCAAGUCGAACGGCAGCACGGGAGCAAUCCUGGUGGCGAGUGGCGAACGGGUGAGUAAUAUAUCGGAACGUGCCCAGUCGUGGGGAUAACGUAGCGAAAGCUACGCUAAUACCGCAUACUAUCUAUGGAUGAAAGCGGGGGAUCGCAAGACCUCGCGCGAUUGGAGCGGCCGAUAUCAGAUUAGGUAGUUGGUGAGGUAAAGGCUCACCAAGCCGACGAUCUGUAGCUGGUCUGAGAGGACGACCAGCCACACUGGGACUGAGACACGGCCCAGACUCCUACGGGAGGCAGCAGUGGGGGAAUUUUGGACAAUGGGCGCAAGCCUGAUCCAGCAAUGCCGCGUGCAGGAUGAAGGCC
Molecule: ribosomal RNA, 386 nt
Filed under: uncultured bacterium
Lineage: Bacteria
Description: bacterial SSU rRNA
Rfam family: Bacterial small subunit ribosomal RNA
Source: RNAcentral